GGGUUGUGAGGUUAAGCGACUAAGCGUACACGGUGGAUGCCCUGGCAGUCAGAGGCGAUGAAGGACGUGCUAAUCUGCGAUAAGCGUCGGUAAGGUGAUAUGAACCGUUAUAACCGGCGAUUUCCGAAUGGGGAAACCCAGUGUGAUUCGUCACACUAUCAUUAACUGAAUCCAUAGGUUAAUGAGGCGAACCGGGGGAACUGAAACAUCUAAGUACCCCGAGGAAAAGAAAUCAACCGAGAUUCCCCCAGUAGCGGCGAGCGAACGGGGAGCAGCCCAGAGCCUGAAUCAGUGUGUGUGUUAGUGGAAGCGUCUGGAAAGGCGCGCGAUACAGGGUGACAGCCCCGUACACAAAAAUGCACAUGCUGUGAGCUCGAUGAGUAGGGCGGGACACGUGGUAUCCUGUCUGAAUAUGGGGGGACCAUCCUCCAAGGCUAAAUACUCCUGACUGACCGAUAGUGAACCAGUACCGUGAGGGAAAGGCGAAAAGAACCCCGGCGAGGGGAGUGAAAAAGAACCUGAAACCGUGUACGUACAAGCAGUGGGAGCACGCUUAGGCGUGUGACUGCGUACCUUUUGUAUAAUGGGUCAGCGACUUAUAUUCUGUAGCAAGGUUAACCGAAUAGGGGAGCCGAAGGGAAACCGAGUCUUAACUGGGCGUUAAGUUGCAGGGUAUAGACCCGAAACCCGGUGAUCUAGCCAUGGGCAGGUUGAAGGUUGGGUAACACUAACUGGAGGACCGAACCGACUAAUGUUGAAAAAUUAGCGGAUGACUUGUGGCUGGGGGUGAAAGGCCAAUCAAACCGGGAGAUAGCUGGUUCUCCCCGAAAGCUAUUUAGGUAGCGCCUCGUGAAUUCAUCUCCGGGGGUAGAGCACUGUUUCGGCAAGGGGGUCAUCCCGACUUACCAACCCGAUGCAAACUGCGAAUACCGGAGAAUGUUAUCACGGGAGACACACGGCGGGUGCUAACGUCCGUCGUGAAGAGGGAAACAACCCAGACCGCCAGCUAAGGUCCCAAAGUCAUGGUUAAGUGGGAAACGAUGUGGGAAGGCCCAGACAGCCAGGAUGUUGGCUUAGAAGCAGCCAUCAUUUAAAGAAAGCGUAAUAGCUCACUGGUCGAGUCGGCCUGCGCGGAAGAUGUAACGGGGCUAAACCAUGCACCGAAGCUGCGGCAGCGACGCUUAUGCGUUGUUGGGUAGGGGAGCGUUCUGUAAGCCUGCGAAGGUGUGCUGUGAGGCAUGCUGGAGGUAUCAGAAGUGCGAAUGCUGACAUAAGUAACGAUAAAGCGGGUGAAAAGCCCGCUCGCCGGAAGACCAAGGGUUCCUGUCCAACGUUAAUCGGGGCAGGGUGAGUCGACCCCUAAGGCGAGGCCGAAAGGCGUAGUCGAUGGGAAACAGGUUAAUAUUCCUGUACUUGGUGUUACUGCGAAGGGGGGACGGAGAAGGCUAUGUUGGCCGGGCGACGGUUGUCCCGGUUUAAGCGUGUAGGCUGGUUUUCCAGGCAAAUCCGGAAAAUCAAGGCUGAGGCGUGAUGACGAGGCACUACGGUGCUGAAGCAACAAAUGCCCUGCUUCCAGGAAAAGCCUCUAAGCAUCAGGUAACAUCAAAUCGUACCCCAAACCGACACAGGUGGUCAGGUAGAGAAUACCAAGGCGCUUGAGAGAACUCGGGUGAAGGAACUAGGCAAAAUGGUGCCGUAACUUCGGGAGAAGGCACGCUGAUAUGUAGGUGAAGUCCCUCGCGGAUGGAGCUGAAAUCAGUCGAAGAUACCAGCUGGCUGCAACUGUUUAUUAAAAACACAGCACUGUGCAAACACGAAAGUGGACGUAUACGGUGUGACGCCUGCCCGGUGCCGGAAGGUUAAUUGAUGGGGUUAGCGCAAGCGAAGCUCUUGAUCGAAGCCCCGGUAAACGGCGGCCGUAACUAUAACGGUCCUAAGGUAGCGAAAUUCCUUGUCGGGUAAGUUCCGACCUGCACGAAUGGCGUAAUGAUGGCCAGGCUGUCUCCACCCGAGACUCAGUGAAAUUGAACUCGCUGUGAAGAUGCAGUGUACCCGCGGCAAGACGGAAAGACCCCGUGAACCUUUACUAUAGCUUGACACUGAACAUUGAGCCUUGAUGUGUAGGAUAGGUGGGAGGCUUUGAAGUGUGGACGCCAGUCUGCAUGGAGCCGACCUUGAAAUACCACCCUUUAAUGUUUGAUGUUCUAACGUUGACCCGUAAUCCGGGUUGCGGACAGUGUCUGGUGGGUAGUUUGACUGGGGCGGUCUCCUCCUAAAGAGUAACGGAGGAGCACGAAGGUUGGCUAAUCCUGGUCGGACAUCAGGAGGUUAGUGCAAUGGCAUAAGCCAGCUUGACUGCGAGCGUGACGGCGCGAGCAGGUGCGAAAGCAGGUCAUAGUGAUCCGGUGGUUCUGAAUGGAAGGGCCAUCGCUCAACGGAUAAAAGGUACUCCGGGGAUAACAGGCUGAUACCGCCCAAGAGUUCAUAUCGACGGCGGUGUUUGGCACCUCGAUGUCGGCUCAUCACAUCCUGGGGCUGAAGUAGGUCCCAAGGGUAUGGCUGUUCGCCAUUUAAAGUGGUACGCGAGCUGGGUUUAGAACGUCGUGAGACAGUUCGGUCCCUAUCUGCCGUGGGCGCUGGAGAACUGAGGGGGGCUGCUCCUAGUACGAGAGGACCGGAGUGGACGCAUCACUGGUGUUCGGGUUGUCAUGCCAAUGGCACUGCCCGGUAGCUAAAUGCGGAAGAGAUAAGUGCUGAAAGCAUCUAAGCACGAAACUUGCCCCGAGAUGAGUUCUCCCUGA
Molecule: ribosomal RNA, 2801 nt
Filed under: Escherichia coli
Lineage: Bacteria; Pseudomonadati; Pseudomonadota; Gammaproteobacteria; Enterobacterales; Enterobacteriaceae
Description: bacterial LSU rRNA
Rfam family: Bacterial large subunit ribosomal RNA
Source: RNAcentral